Molecule: ribosomal RNA, 691 nt
Filed under: Raffaelea sp.
Lineage: Eukaryota; Fungi; Ascomycota; Sordariomycetes; Ophiostomatales; Ophiostomataceae
Description: partial large subunit ribosomal RNA
Rfam family: Eukaryotic large subunit ribosomal RNA
Source: RNAcentral
GGCGAGUGAAGCGGCAACAGCUCAGAUUUGGAAUCUNGCNCCCNCNGGGGCCCGAGUUGUAAUCUGGAGAGGGAGCCUCUGGCGCGGCGCCCGGCGAGUCCCCUGGAACGGGGCGCCGGAGAGGGUGAGAGCCCCGUACGGCGGGCCGCCGUGCCUCUGCGAGGCCCCUUCGACGAGUCGAGUAGUUUGGGAAUGCUGCUCCAAGCGGGAGGUAAAUUUCUUCUAAAGCUAAAUACCGGCCAGAGACCGAUAGCGCACAAGUAGAGUGAUCGAAAGAUGAAAAGCACUUUGAAAAGAGGGUCAAACAGUACGUGAAAUUGUUGAAAGGGAAGCGCCCGUGGCCAGACUCGCGCCCUGCGGACCACCCGGCGGACCCCGCCGGGGCGCUCCGCGGGGCGCGGGCCAGCAUCGGCCGCUGCGGGGGGACAAGGACGGCGGGAACGUGGCCCCUCCGGGGGUGUUACAGCCCGCCGCGCCAUGCCCCCGCGGCGGCCGAGGACCGCGCUUCGGCAAGGAUGCUGGCGUAAUGGCCNNCGGCGACCCGNCUUGAAACACGGACCAAGGAGUCNAGCAUUGNGGCGAGUGUACGGGUGGCAAACCCGCGCGCGGAAUGAAAGUGAACGCAGGUGGGAGCCUCGGCGCACCANCGACCGAUCCUGNUGUUNUNGNANGGAUUUGAGUNAGAGCCCUG